This 332-nucleotide ribosomal RNA is filed under the name uncultured Gammaproteobacteria bacterium. RNAcentral's name for it is "bacterial SSU rRNA". It matches the Rfam family "Bacterial small subunit ribosomal RNA", at positions 9 to 346 of the family's 1533-position model. The record is from RNAcentral. Lineage: Bacteria; Pseudomonadati; Pseudomonadota; Gammaproteobacteria.
GAGUUUGAUCUUGGCUCAGGAUGAACGCUAGCGGCAGGCCUAACACAUGCAAGUCGAGCGGCAGCGCGGGGGCAACCCUGGCGGCGAGCGGCGGACGGGUGAGGAAUGCAUCGGAAUCUACCUCGUUGUGGGGGAUAACCUCGGGAAACCGGGACUAAUACCGCAUACGACCUACGGGUGAAAGUGGGGGACCGCAAGGCCUCACGCGAUGAGAUGAGCCGAUGCCGGAUUAGCUAGUUGGCGGGUAAGGCCACCAAGGCGACGAUCCGUAGCUGGUCUGAGAGGAUGAUCAGCCACACUGGAACUGAGACACGGUCCAGACUCCUACGGGA